UCUGUGAUGCCCUUAGAUGUUCUGGGCCGCACGCGCGCUACACUGAUAAAGUCAGCAAGUAUUCACCUUGGCCGGAAGGUCUGGGUAAUCUUUUGAAACUUUAUCGUGCUUGGGAUAGUCCUUUGCAAUUAUUGGACUUCAACGAGGAAUUCCUAGUAAGUGCGAGUCAUCAGCUCGCGUUGAUUACGUCCCUGCCCUUUGUACACACCGCCCGUCGCUACUACCGAUUGAAUGGCUUAGUGAGACCCUCGGAUUGGCGAGUCAUAGCUGGCAACAGCCAAGGCCUGCCGAGAAGUUGGUCAAACUUGGUCAUUUAGAGGAAGUAA
Molecule: ribosomal RNA, 326 nt
Filed under: uncultured eukaryote
Lineage: Eukaryota
Description: SSU rRNA
Rfam family: Eukaryotic small subunit ribosomal RNA
Source: RNAcentral